This is a non-coding RNA of Ciona savignyi (Pacific transparent sea squirt), 72 nucleotides long. NCBI's taxonomy places the organism in Eukaryota, Metazoa, Chordata, Ascidiacea, Phlebobranchia, Cionidae. The record is from Rfam.
UCCUCGUUAGUAUAGUGGUGAGUAUCCCCGUCUGUCACGCGGGAGACCGGGGUUCGAUUCCCCGACGGGGAG